This 1379-nucleotide long non-coding RNA is filed under the name Anas platyrhynchos platyrhynchos (common mallard). Its description in RNAcentral is "lncRNA (ENSAPLG00000016472.1)". The record is from RNAcentral. Lineage: Eukaryota; Metazoa; Chordata; Aves; Anseriformes; Anatidae.
GCUCUUUGUGGCCUUUGGCAGGCAGCGGCUGAGCAGGCGGAGGGCAACACAAAGAAAUACGCUCGCUGCUAUGGGAAGGCUUUGCCUACACAAUUAGAGCAGCAGAGAGAAGCAUUGGCAUUUUAGGUUUCCAGCACAUGAAAUCUGCAGUCUUGCAAGUCGGAGUCUUUUAAAUGGAAAGCGAGAGAGUAAUCAGUGGUUCACGGUGAAAGAAUGACUUCUGGGAGCAGAUAUUCAAGUCUCUUAGGUCUGGAUCAACCAAGCAAAUCAAGGUAAAACCCAGAGGGACAAAUAUACUGCACAGAUCUGCUUAGGAAGCAUCCUUUUAUAGAAACAAACGGGGAGGUAAAGCAUGGUGCUUUAAAAGUGCAUUAAGCGUACUUUAUUCCUCAGCUCAGAGUUAAUUCAAGCAAUAAACUCACUGCUUUCACACUUGCUAAAGCUUCCCACAAAUCUCACGACUGAGCUCCCCACCGAACCUCAGGGGAAGCUGUUAGGAUGAUAACUCCCUUCCCCCACCUCCAAGCUGACCUGGAAAUGCUUAGAGAAUUGUGCUCAGCAAAACCCUGUCCUAACACUUUUUAUUAUUGCUCUUAGUACCUGUGUUUUUCUCUGUACCACGUAUAUAAAAGAGAGGGGAUUUCCCCUUGCACCAAUUAAAACCCAAAUCUCACCUCUCCUUUCUUCCCCCUCAACAAGAAGUUAACCCCUGCUGAGCUCUUUCCCCCAAGGCAUCCAUAAAGCCUCACAGGUGAGCUCGCUGCAGUGUAAUGAGAAUGAAUCAGUGCUGAUCUCCCAACAGAUAAACACAAAUCUUUUAUUCUAGCCACCUGGCUCUGGAUUUAUCAGACAAGAAAACGUCUAUGGUUGGGGUUAGCUGGAUUUGCUUCUUUCUUUUGCCCUCUUGGGAGCAAAGAUGUGUAUGAAUCAUAUAAUUGGUUGCCUAACGAAGCUCUUUAAGAAUAACUGGAAGAAAUGAGGUGCACCCAGGAGACUAGCAGGAGAAGGGGCCGUUGUGCCAAAUUACCGAGAAUUUCUGAUUGUUCUCAAGGAGGGGCUAAAGACAUGCUUCCCCAGCAUCUCUUUAGAAAUCAAGAAGCAGGAAAGUCUCACAACAGCUAGCACUGUUCCUUUGGUCCUGGCACACUUGAGAACCACAGUCGCUCAAACCAUCCUGCCCACGAGUCUCGGGUUAACUUCAUGUGCUGGACAGGAAAAAGACACCACACCAGAAAGCAGGACGGUGUUUGCAUGGAGAUAGCAGGGCUGAAGUCAGACCAGGGCAGGGAGCAGAACAGUUCCCUCCAUCCCCUUGCCAGUGUUUGACCUUGUGCACCUCAGUCCCUAAAACCCUGACACUUUCUGCCCUGCUCACCAUG